This 3280-nucleotide long non-coding RNA is filed under the name Homo sapiens (human). RNAcentral's name for it is "non-protein coding POT1-AS1:26". The record is from RNAcentral. Lineage: Eukaryota; Metazoa; Chordata; Mammalia; Primates; Hominidae.
ACGCAUGCGUGCAGGAUCCCUGGGCAUAGUCGCUUGUUCUCCGCCCGCGGUGGACCAGCUGCGUAACGGUUCACACACUGAUGGCGCCUGGAGGUUUGGCGAAAUACUGACAGGAUGCGACGUCAACGGGAGCGCAGGGCCAAGAUACCCUUUAUAUCAAACCGUCUAUCCUGGAGCAGAAAAAUCCUGUCUUCAUUGCUAUAGCUACAGAUUCAGAAAUGAGCAUGUAACAAAUUCAGGCCAAAGAGAGGCAAUGGAAAUCAGAGAAACACUGUUCCUGAAAGCUUCUGUCACUCAAGAAUCCAUGAAACAUUCAUGAACUUCACAUCAGAAGCCAAGCCCAGAAAAUAUGGGUUUAAGGUUUGCCUAUAUGUCCAAUACAAGAGAAAAAAGAACAUUCCACUUCUUUAGAAGGUUCUACUUUGAUCUCCUGAUUCCAGUUGUGAAAAAAAAUUGUGCCUAAAGAAUAUAGUCCCUUUAUAGAAUUGUUUUGAAACCUACCACAGGUAUUUCUACACAGGUGCUAUUGUGGAGGUGCAUACCCAACAGUUUGAUAAUGUAGAGGAAGUGAUAGCUUUGUCUCGUGGAAUCUGGGUCGACCUCACAGAGGAGCUGUUAUUUGUUCUGGAUAUUGAACAGUGACAAGGAUUCAGUGGGAGAGAAAGAGGCGAGGAUUUUAAUGCAACUUGUUACACAAGAUGAACCCAAACAUAUUUGACUUUUUAUUUUCAGAAAAGCUUAAUACAUAGUUUUGAAUAUGGAUUGUCCCACAGGAUAAAUGCAUGAAAAAAGUUGGAAAAGAGAAAUUGAAUUACAUCCUAAUUGUAGUGUUUUCUCAGGCAGAUCAAUUUUAGAAAGAGAACAUUGACUUGGAAAACUGAAGAGUAAUUAUUCUAAAACGGUUGUAACAGUUUACUCCUUUUAUGUUUGCAAACUUCCAGGAUUAGUGAGUUGCAUAAAGUCACAUAAUUUAUUGCGUUGGUGCAAAAGUAAUUGUGGUUUUUGCCAUUAACAAAACCGCAAUUACUUUUGCAUCAGCCUAAUAUAAGUGAAUAAAUUAAUAUUAGAACACAGGUCUAAUUAAAAGGUUCUGCUGUGUUGUGUCCUGUGAUAACACAGAAAACAAACAAAUGGAUAAUUACAGAAAAAUUUUGGAUAUAAAAUUAGCAGGUAAUUUUCUCCCUCCUUUCCUUCCAUCUUUCCAUCCUUCUUUGCUUCCUUUGCUUUCUUCUUUUCCUUUGUUUUUUGUUUCUCUCUCUCUCUUUUUUUUUUUUUUUUUUUUUUUUUGCAAUUUGGAGAAGGAAGUACUUUAAAAGAAAAGUUAAAAGGCAGACAUAGAUAGCAUGAAGCCUAAUUGCAAGAUCUUUUUCAAACAUAUUAGUUUUAGGAAAUAGCACCUGAAUUUAAGUCCCUUAAAAUUGUCUAUGUCUUCACGUCCAAGUCUCUAUAUUUGCAGGGCUGUGUACAAUCUAGACUGAACAUGCUUGACCUAAAAACAGAAGUAAUACCUGGGGCAAAGCACGAUGUGCACCACAGUCUUCUCUCUUUAGUGUGUUAAGAUAAAGUUGAUUCCCAGAGUAGCCUGCCAUCACUAACUCUGAGGGAUGGUGGGCUAAUUUUGAUAGAAGGAGCAGAGGUGGUAGUUAGGAGGAAGGUGACUCAUCAUCAUUGUAUCAGCAGGCAUUGAUGACUGGAAAUAUCAGGGGGCACAGCCUGAAAGAGAAUGGCUUAAUUGGAAUUGAUAGUGGGAACUUGGAAAUCAAUACAUAUGCACUGAACAGAAAAUGGUAUGCUAUAAUCUACUAUACACUGUAUGUGAAACCCAAGCUCCAAAUUUUUCGGCCCAUGCAAUGUCCAGUAAAAUUUCUCUUAGUUACAUUAUAAUUGCAAUGUACAUGUAUUUGAGGAAAAAAAAAGUGAAAGAAAAAGUAACUAAAGAAAAGUGGAAAUGCAAAACUUUGUUUUUAUUAAUGUUAAAAUUUAUUUUGAUCAACUUGCUAUUCUUAAAAUUGACCAAUCUUCUUCCCUUCCUUGCCUCUUCCAUGGUUUAUAGGAUUAUUUUUCAGGGCUGAUCAGUUGGUGUUACAUGUGACUACUAUGCUUAAUGCUAUCUGGCUUCUAACUUUAAGCACUGAAAAAAAGUCCUUCGUAUUUCUCAGUGUGUGAUUGAACUGAGAUGACCAUCCUAAGCCUCCUCAUUACAUAAAUCCUUACCUUCUCCAGAAGCAACGAAUGGUGUUGAGAAUAGCAUAUGUUACUACUCAGCCAUAUUCCAUAGCCUUUUCUCCAAGAUAUUUUUCCAAAGUUGCCCCUUUUCUGAAUCCCUUGCAAGCAAACAAACAACAAAACAAUGGGUAAUAAAAUAAUUGUUUAACUUUCAUUUAUAUGCUCUGAGAUUGAUGUGAUUUUGAUAAAUAACUAUAUUAAAAGACAAAUGGGAGUGGUGAUUUUGUGAAAAGCCCAUGCCUCUGCCCAUGGAAUAUGUGGCUUGGCCUGGAGCUCUUAUUUUACUUAUAUAUUUCUAAGCAGAAUUAUUCAAGAAUGUCUCUUAUUACAGGUCUUGAAACUUGGACAGCCAACAGAAAGGAAGCUAAUAAAUAAAUUUGUCAGAACACGAUUCUCAGUUUCACUUAUUUUGAAUUAAAGGUAACCUGGAAAAUGGAUUAGGAAAACAGCCUAUAAUCAGAGGAGUGACCCCAGUGAGACCCUGUCAUUAAAACUUUAGUGUUGAGCCUGCAAACCUCUGUUCCUCUGAUUAGGCAAUUUACUCCAUUUCCACCUUUCUGUCUGCCAAAACAUUUAGUGGCAAAACAUUUUCUAAUUCUCUAGACUCAUAAAAUGUUGUUUUGAAAAAAAGUAAAACAGAAUGGAUUACCUUUUUAAGCUGUCUAUCAUAAUGUAAUCAGAAAACAUGAGGGAUUAAUAGAUAAUAUUGUAAAGAGGCAAAGGCAGCAGAUGUUAUUUAGAUGAGCAGAAGGUCACAGACCUCUGUUGAGGAUUGAAAGCUUGAGGUACGUGCCUUUGUUCCUCAGUGUGUGUGGAUCAGAGUGAUUACUGAUAUCAGUUAGCAACAUGGUGGAGGGGACAAACUGGGGCUGCAUUUUCACUAUGUUUAUUAUUGCUCAAGGUCAAAAAGUGACUGUGUAGUGCCUCAGUUUUUACAUCUUUGUGUUAUCAAUAUUUUUUUCUAUUACCUUACAAGUUUAUUUUGAUGCUGUAAUGAUGAGACAGUGUUUUGAAAAGUUCUAAAUAAAUAAAAGGGUAUUCUCUAACUUUUAAA